Molecule: long non-coding RNA, 288 nt
Organism: Patiria miniata (bat star)
Lineage: Eukaryota; Metazoa; Echinodermata; Asteroidea; Valvatida; Asterinidae
Exons: 2
Source: RefSeq, a predicted model, not a curated record
CUUCUCUCAGAAAUUUUUGAAAUGUUAGCAAUUUUUUUGAAUUCUAAUGAUGUUUGAAUUCUAUGCUUACUAGAUGUUACAGUGAAAUCUUGAUAAGUCAAAACCGGUUAACUCGAAAACCUGUUUAAAUUAAAGAACUUACUCCUAUCAAAAGAAUAGCAAAUCGUGUAUAAACUUGCCCACGCUAACUUGAAAUUUCAGUCCGGAGACUUUGUUAAGUCAAACUCAAAAUUGCCAGAUGCAGAAAUAAACUUAGCGUAAUAAGGCCACAGAAGAAACUGGAAUCCU